RNAcentral lists this ribosomal RNA (253 nucleotides) under uncultured Lachnospiraceae bacterium. RNAcentral describes it as "partial 16S ribosomal RNA". It matches the Rfam family "Bacterial small subunit ribosomal RNA", at positions 524 to 776 of the family's 1533-position model. The record is from RNAcentral. Lineage: Bacteria; Bacillati; Bacillota; Clostridia; Lachnospirales; Lachnospiraceae.
UACGUAGGGGGCAAGCGUUAUCCGGAUUUACUGGGUGUAAAGGGAGCGUAGACGGCUGUGCAAGUCUGAAGUGAAAGCCCAGGGCUCAACCCUGGGACUGCUUUGGAAACUGGGAGACUUGAGUGCAGAAGAGGAGAGUGGAACUCCAUGUGUAGCGGUGAAAUGCGUAGAUAUAUGGAAGAACACCAGUGGCGAAAGCGGCUCUCUGGUCUGUAACUGACGCUGAGGCUCGAAAGCGUGGGGAGCAAACAGG